CUAGCUACAGGCUUAACACACGCAGGUCGAGGGGCAGCACGGUCUUAGCUUUGCUAAGGCCGAUGGCGACCGGCGCACGGGUGAGUAACACGUAUCCAACCUGCCGUCUACUCUUGGACAGCCUUCUGAAAGGAAGAUUAAUACAAGAUGGCAUCAUGAGUCCGCAUGUUCACAUGAUUAAAGGUAUUCCGGUAGACGAUGGGGAUGCGUUCCAUUAGAUAGUAGGCGGGGUAACGGCCCACCUAGUCUUCGAUGGAUAGGGGUUCUGAGAGGAAGGUCCCCCACAUUGGAACUGAGACACGGUCCAAACUCCUACGGGAGGCAGCAGUGAGGAAUAUUGGUCAAUGGGCGAGAGCCUGAACCAGCCAAGUAGCGUGAAGGAUGACUGCCCUAUGGGUUGUAAACUUCUUUUAUAAAGGAAUAAAGUCGGGUAUGGAUACCCGUUUGCAUGUACUUUAUGAAUAAGGAUCGGCUAACUCCGUGCCAGCAGCCGCGGUAAUACGGAGGAUCCGAGCGUUAUCCGGAUUUAUUGGGUUUAAAGGGAGCGUAGAUGGAUGUUUAAGUCAGUUGUGAAAGUUUGCGGCUCAACCGUAAAAUUGCAGUUGAUACUGGAUAUCUUGAGUGCAGUUGAGGCAGGCGGAAUUCGUGGUGUAGCGGUGAAAUGCUUAGAUAUCACGAAGAACUCCGAUUGCGAAGGCAGCCUGCUAAGCUGCAACUGACAUUGAGGCUCGAAAGUGUGGGUAUCAAACAGGAUUAGAUACCCUGGUAGUCCACACGGUAAACGAUGAAUACUCGCUGUUUGCGAUAUACUGCAAGCGGCCAAGCGAAAGCGUUAAGUAUUCCACCUGGGGAGUACGCCGGCAACGGUGAAACUCAAAGGAAUUGACGGGGGCCCGCACAAGCGGAGGAACAUGUGGUUUAAUUCGAUGAUACGCGAGGAACCUUACCCGGGCUUAAAUUGCAGAUGAAUUACGGUGAAAGCCGUAAGCCGCAAGGCAUCUGUGAAGGUGCUGCAUGGUUGUCGUCAGCUCGUGCCGUGAGGUGUCGGCUUAAGUGCCAUAACGAGCGCAACCCUUGUUGUCAGUUACUAACAGGUUCCGCUGAGGACUCUGACAAGACUGCCAUCGUAAGAUGUGAGGAAGGUGGGGAUGACGUCAAAUCAGCACGGCCCUUACGUCCGGGGCUACACACGUGUUACAAUGGGGGGUACAGAGGGCCGCUACCACGCGAGUGGAUGCCAAUCCCCAAAACCUCUCUCAGUUCGGACUGGAGUCUGCAACCCGACUCCACGAAGCUGGAUUCGCUAGUAAUCGCGCAUCAGCCACGGCGCGGUGAAUACGUUCCCGGGCCU
RNAcentral lists this ribosomal RNA (1351 nucleotides) under uncultured bacterium. RNAcentral's name for it is "bacterial SSU rRNA". It matches the Rfam family "Bacterial small subunit ribosomal RNA", at positions 36 to 1381 of the family's 1533-position model. The record is from RNAcentral.